This 316-nucleotide ribosomal RNA is filed under the name Microbispora sp. KK1-11. Its description in RNAcentral is "bacterial SSU rRNA". It matches the Rfam family "Bacterial small subunit ribosomal RNA", at positions 480 to 795 of the family's 1533-position model. Lineage: Bacteria; Bacillati; Actinomycetota; Actinomycetes; Streptosporangiales; Streptosporangiaceae. The record is from RNAcentral.
AACAGAAUAAGCACCGGCUAACUCUGUGCCAGCAGCCGCGGUAAUACAGAGGGUGCAAGCGUUAAUCGGAAUUACUGGGCGUAAAGCGCGCGUAGGUGGUUUGUUAAGUUGAAUGUGAAAUCCCCGGGCUCAACCUGGGAACUGCAUCCAAAACUGGCAAGCUAGAGUAUGGUAGAGGGUAGUGGAAUUUCCUGUGUAGCGGUGAAAUGCGUAGAUAUAGGAAGGAACACCAGUGGCGAAGGCGACUACCUGGACUGAUACUGACACUGAGGUGCGAAAGCGUGGGGAGCAAACAGGAUUAGAUACCCCGGUAGUC